Molecule: long non-coding RNA, 334 nt
Organism: Lytechinus variegatus (green sea urchin)
Lineage: Eukaryota; Metazoa; Echinodermata; Echinoidea; Temnopleuroida; Toxopneustidae
Exons: 2
Source: RefSeq, a predicted model, not a curated record
GACAGGUCUAUUGUUACGCACUGAGGCGAAAUCUAGCGAUCAAUGGCGCGAAAUUUUGAAAAGCUGCGUGGCAGUAGCGAGUGAAUGUAUUUCGCCAACAGGACACGUACGACAACUAAUAACGACAGUACUACACUAACGAGAGGAGGAUUUAAACAGCGGGCAUGUAUUCUCAAACAAAAAUGGACAUCCUUCUGUUAAUUAUUACUGCGUACGAACGAGAGUAAAGGAUGAGAACUUCAGGAAGCGAUUUCAAACAUUAGUUUGGUGAUAAUCAGCAAAGAAUUAAUCCGGAGUGUUCUAAGACUUUCAAUGAGAUCGAUUGCCAUCUGUU